GGAUUGUGCAGAACUUGCCACCACGAAAACUCAGAGAAGCUCAAUGCCGCUGAAAAGAGGCCGGCAGCUCUGGAAGACUACGCUAGACCAUCAGAUCAAAUUGCUGAACAAACAGCGUACCAAAAUGCCUACGUUAUGCACUGUGGAACGCUCUGCGGAUGGACAG
This is a long non-coding RNA of Alosa alosa (allis shad), 166 nucleotides long. RefSeq lists it as uncharacterized. The record is from RefSeq and is a predicted model, not a curated record. NCBI's taxonomy places the organism in Eukaryota, Metazoa, Chordata, Actinopteri, Clupeiformes, Clupeidae. The transcript is spliced from 3 exons.